Molecule: ribosomal RNA, 433 nt
Filed under: uncultured bacterium
Lineage: Bacteria
Description: partial 16S ribosomal RNA
Rfam family: Bacterial small subunit ribosomal RNA
Source: RNAcentral
AACGAACGCUGGCGGCAUGCCUAACACAUGCAAGUCGAACGAGACCUUCGGGUCUAGUGGCGCACGGGUGCGUAACGCGUGGGAACCUGCCCUUAGGUUCGGAAUAACUCCCCGAAAGGGGUGCUAAUACCGGAUAAUGUCUUCGGACCAAAGAUUUAUCGCCUUUGGAUGGGCCCGCGUUGGAUUAGCUCGUUGGUAGGGUAAAAGCCUACCAAGGCGACGAUCCAUAGCUGGUCUGAGAGGAUGAUCAGCCACACUGGGACUGAGGCACGGCCCAGACUCGUACGGGAGGCAGGAGUGGGGAAUAUUGGACAAGGGGCGAAAGCCUGAUACAGCAAUGCCGGGUGAGUGAUGAAGGCGUUAGGGUUGUAAAGCUCUUUUACCCGGGAUGAUAAUGACAGUACCGGGAGAAUAAGCUCCGGCUAACUACGUG